CGCAUAAAGCUAAAGAAUGAAUCAUCAAUGCCACGCGUGUUCAGUAUCUUAGCAAUGAAAUCGCUGAGCAACCCUUUCCAAGAGAACGUAAAGACAGAAGCACGCAUGCUGCUUGAUUCUCUAGGCCAUCAAAAUAAAUGCCCGUUCUGUCAUUGGACGCAUGCUAGAACUCAGCAACCUGCUUAACUUCUUGGAGCGUCAAGGUCUUUGUUCACAGAAUGAGAGAUUUGCACUAAACGACCUUCACAAGUCCUUCCAGCUCAUUCUGUGGUUCUCUGAAAACUCACUGACUUCUGGAGUCAGAACAUCAAAUUGGACUUUGUGAAACUUCUGUUAACAAGGAGGCCACACUUGAUUUCUAAAACUCAAUUAGCACAGAUUAAAAAUAAAUAAAUAAAAGACUUAUAUGGCUGCAUCCCACUAUGUUAGAUACAGGGGGGUUGGGAUGAAAAUACCAAUAAAC
This 463-nucleotide long non-coding RNA is filed under the name Equus caballus (horse). RNAcentral describes it as "lncRNA (ENSECAG00000054979.1)". The record is from RNAcentral. Lineage: Eukaryota; Metazoa; Chordata; Mammalia; Perissodactyla; Equidae.